RNAcentral lists this ribosomal RNA (497 nucleotides) under uncultured bacterium. RNAcentral describes it as "partial 16S ribosomal RNA". It matches the Rfam family "Bacterial small subunit ribosomal RNA", at positions 28 to 507 of the family's 1533-position model. The record is from RNAcentral.
GAUGAACGCUGGCGGCGUGCCUAAUACAUGCAAGUCGAGCGAACGGACGAGAAGCUUGCUUCUCUGAUGUUAGCGGCGGACGGGUGAGUAACACGUGGAUAACCUACCUAUAAGACUGGGAUAACUUCGGGAAACCGGAGCUAAUACCGGAUAAUAUUUUGAACCGCAUGGUUCAAAAGUGAAAGACGGUCUUGCUGUCACUUAUAGAUGGAUCCGCGCUGCAUUAGCUAGUUGGUAAGGUAACGGCUUACCAAGGCAACGAUGCAUAGCCGACCUGAGAGGGUGAUCGGCCACACUGGAACUGAGACACGGUCCAGACUCCUACGGGAGGCAGCAGUAGGGAAUCUUCCGCAAUGGGCGAAAGCCUGACGGAGCAACGCCGCGUAAGUGAUGAAGGUCUUCGGAUCGUAAAACUCUGUUAUUAGGGAAGAACAUAUGUAUAAGUAACUGUGCACAUCUUGACGGUACCUAAUCAGAAAGCCACGGCUAACUACGUG